RNAcentral lists this ribosomal RNA (1341 nucleotides) under uncultured bacterium. RNAcentral describes it as "partial 16S ribosomal RNA". It matches the Rfam family "Bacterial small subunit ribosomal RNA", at positions 28 to 1381 of the family's 1533-position model. The record is from RNAcentral.
GACGAACGCUGGCGGCGUGCUUAACACAUGCAAGUCGAACGGUAAGGCUCCAGCUUGCUGGGGUACACGAGUGGCGAACGGGUGAGUAACACGUGGGUGACCUGCCCUGCACUUCGGGAUAAGCCUGGGAAACUGGGUCUAAUACCGGAUAGGACCGCACCGUGAGGGUGUGGUGGAAAGUUUUUUCGGUGUGGGAUGGGCCCGCGGCCUAUCAGCUUGUUGGUGGGGUAAUGGCCUACCAAGGCGGCGACGGGUAGCCGGCCUGAGAGGGUGGACGGCCACAUUGGGACUGAGACACGGCCCAGACUCCUACGGGAGGCAGCAGUGGGGAAUAUUGCACAAUGGGCGGAAGCCUGAUGCAGCGACGCCGCGUGGGGGAUGACGGCCUUCGGGUUGUAAACUCCUUUCACCAUCGACGGAGGGUUUCUGACGGUAGAUGGAGAAGAAGCACCGGCUAACUACGUGCCAGCAGCCGCGGUAAUACGUAGGGUGCGAGCGUUGUCCGGAAUUACUGGGCGUAAAGAGCUCGUAGGUGGUUUGUCGCGUCGUCUGUGAAAUUCCGGGGCUUAACUCCGGGCGUGCAGGCGAUACGGGCAUAACUUGAGUACUGUAGGGGAGACUGGAAUUCCUGGUGUAGCGGUGAAAUGCGCAGAUAUCAGGAGGAACACCGGUGGCGAAGGCGGGUCUCUGGGCAGUAACUGACGCUGAGGAGCGAAAGCAUGGGGAGCGAACAGGAUUAGAUACCCUGGUAGUCCAUGCCGUAAACGGUGGGCGCUAGGUGUGGGUUUCCUUCCACGGGAUCCGUGCCGUAGCUAACGCAUUAAGCGCCCCGCCUGGGGAGUACGGCCGCAAGGCUAAAACUCAAAGGAAUUGACGGGGGCCCGCACAAGCGGCGGAGCAUGUGGAUUAAUUCGAUGCAACGCGAAGAACCUUACCUGGGCUUGACAUAUACAGGAUCGCGCCAGAGAUGGUGUUUCCCUUGUGGCUUGUAUACAGGUGGUGCAUGGUUGUCGUCAGCUCGUGUCGUGAGAUGUUGGGUUAAGUCCCGCAACGAGCGCAACCCUUGUCUUAUGUUGCCAGCACGUUGUGGUGGGGACUCGUAAGAAACUGCCGGGGUUAACUCGGAGGAAGGUGGGGAUGACGUCAAAUCAUCAUGCCCCUUAUGUCCAGGGCUUCACACAUGCUACAAUGGUCGGUACAGUGGGUUGCCAGUCCGUGAGGGCGAGCUAAUCCCGCAAAGCCGGUCUCAGUUCGGAUCGGGGUCUGCAACUCGACCCCGUGAAGUCGGAGUCGCUAGUAAUCGCAGAUCAGCAACGCUGCGGUGAAUACGUUCCCGGGCCU